This 462-nucleotide ribosomal RNA is filed under the name uncultured bacterium. Its description in RNAcentral is "partial 16S ribosomal RNA". It matches the Rfam family "Bacterial small subunit ribosomal RNA", at positions 32 to 507 of the family's 1533-position model. The record is from RNAcentral.
AACCAACGCUGGCGGCGUGCCUAAUACAUGCAAGUCGAACGGGGAAAGUAGCAAUAUGAGUACUAGUGGCGCACGGGUGAGUAACGCGUGGAUAAUCUGCCUUGAAGAGGGGGAUAACUAGUCGAAAGAUUAGCUAAUACCGCAUAAGACCACAAGAACUGAGGUUCAAGGGGUCAAAGGUUUUUCGCUUCAAGAUGAGUCCGCGUAAGAUUAGCUAGUUGGUGAGGUAAUGGCUCACCAAGGCAACGAUCUUUAACUGGUCUGAGAGGAUGAUCAGUCACACUGGAACUGAGACACGGUCCAGACUCCUACGGGAGGCAGCAGUAGGGAAUAUUGCACAAUGGAGGAAACUCUGAUGCAGCGGCGCCGCGUGAGUGAUGAAGGCCUUCGGGUCGUAAAGCUCUGUCGCAGGGGAAUAACACAAUGAAUGUACCCUGUAAGAAAGGAUCGGCUAACUUCGUG